This is a long non-coding RNA of Peromyscus californicus insignis, 2146 nucleotides long. RefSeq lists it as uncharacterized. The record is from RefSeq and is a predicted model, not a curated record. The transcript is spliced from 5 exons. Lineage: Eukaryota; Metazoa; Chordata; Mammalia; Rodentia; Cricetidae.
CUUGCAGCUAUUACCUACAGCCCCAAACCCUGAAACCCCCAUCACUAGAUUUAAUUUUUUAAGAGAAGUUACGAGAAACUCUUAUGAUUUGAAGAUUAAAAACAAGGCCUGAGCUGAAGGACGUCUCGGGGAAUCUGAGGGUACAUACUACCGUUGCAGAGGAGCCAAGUUCUGUCCCCAGCCUGUAACUCCUCCAUGAGGACCUGAUGCCUCUGGCCCCUGUGGGCACUUGCGCACACAUGCACUUAUCCACACGCAGACACCCACACAUGCGCAUAAUUAAAUACGGAGAGACUUCAGCUAGACUCUGAAUGAAGAGCUUUUUUUUCUUCCCCACGCCACCAGAAUUUCCCUGUCCUGUCUUUCUCUCCUGGCUCGUUUUGAUGAUGAUAAACAAUGCCCUUGUCUUCAUCUAAGCAAUGACUCGUGUAACUUUUGUUUUAUUAUUUAGGUCACAUGCACUGACUCAAGGAACUUAAUUUUAAGGCAGUCCAGUGAAGUAUGCAAGGCAGAUGUUAUGGUCCUGUAAAUGCAAAAAACGGACCUAAGAAAUCAUCGCAAAUGUCUACCUAUGGUCCUAAAAGCGCAUGCCAUAUUUGAAUUCUCUCUAUGCUGUAUCUCCACUUAGACUAUAGUGGAACACCUCCAGCAUUGGGAAUCUGUUAUAAGAGCACACUGAAGUCCCAACUCAGGACAAUUCUUCAGGUCUCUUUUGGACCAUCGCAGCCACUGACAGUUCGAGAGAGUCAUAGCCGUGCCAUGCCCAGAGGACAGCGGGCCACAGCAGCAUUUCACAGAUGGCCUUAUAAUUAAAAAAAACUCAGAGUCAGAGAUCGGGUGAAGGCUGAAAGAUCAGAGAAGCAGAGCAAGCCACAGCCAACCUCACCUCGCCAACUCCUCAGCCAAUCCUGUUUCCUCAGACUGGAAGCCUCGGAGUCCUCACCCGAAAGGAUCUCAGCUGAACUGCUUUAGUUCCUGUUUCCUCACACCUUAUACACCUUUCUCCGCCCAGCCAUGUCACUUCCUGGGAUUAAAGGCGUGUGUGCUUCCCAGUACUGUGAUUAAAGAGAUAUUGUCUGGAAAAUAUCACCAUUCCUGAUGAGUCAGUUCCUGAUAGUUUCCAUGGAAACAUCAUUUUUUAAAGGGCUUUGCAUGAAUUCUGAGCACCACUAAGGUCCUUUUAGUGAAUACCCAUCCCCUUGAGAUAAUCAGACCCUGAUUCUACUGCUUACAGCAAGAACUCCUGGACGUCAUGGUCACACUGACUUCCCACAGGCAUCAGAUGUUAACAGAUGUUGAAGAAUCUGCCUCCUGGACUUCUCAUGUCUGUGCCUGCUUCUGCUGCCACUGUCACCUCACUUCUCACCAGGGCGAGCAAGCAGACAGGAAACGCUGCCUGUGUGCACUUCGUACGCUCAUCCUCCAGUCCACAGCUGUCUAUGCCAGGUUUGCCUGGCUGAGAUAUCUGAGGAGAGAGUCCAUUGUAAACGAACAAUCGUAACCCAGUUUCAGGAGAGAACACUGUAACUAGCCCCUCUCCAGUGGUGGUAAGAGUGUUAUCUGAGAAGAGGGGAGGUCAGACCAGGGCUGGUGCUUUUCAGAGGAGUGGGUCACCCAUCCAACCUCUGACCAGCCACCUUCAGGGGACACAGACAUGACUAUCCUGGGCAAAUCACCUCUCUAGAGAACUGCCCCAUGAUCCCCGGAGCGUGAUCCUUGGUGGGUGAAGCGGCUGUGACCAUGCCUAUCUACAUCUGUCAAGAUAAAGUCCGCAGUGCUCUUCACAACGGUACCUCGACUUUCCCAUCUCCCAUGCCCCUCCCUCGUGUUAUCCCCACAUGCAGCCAUGCUUGUCUGGGGGAGUUAGGCUCCCUAUGAAUGCCCUUCUUUCUGAGCAGGAAUGUCAUCAAAUAGUUUAUUUUCAGAAUUAGAAAUAAAGACUGUUUAGUGAAACUGAUUUUCAAAGAGCACAGGUAUUUUUUUAAAGUUUCUUGCAUCUUAUUUUUUAAUUCAAAUCCGAGAAACAAAAAAUAUUUUUAUUAUGUCUUUUCUUAUUUGGCUCUAUGUUUUUAAUGUUUGAACUGUUAUGUCUUGAUUUUGGGGAAAUUUUAUGUAUUGGCUUCUAACCAUUUAAAAAUAAAUAUUU